GGGGAUGUGGCUCAGUGGUGGAGCUCUUGCUUUGCAUGCACAAGGCCCUGGGUUUGAUUCCCAACACCACCA
RNAcentral lists this transfer RNA (72 nucleotides) under Cavia porcellus (domestic guinea pig). It matches the Rfam family "tRNA". From Rfam's summary of the family: Transfer RNA (tRNA) molecules are approximately 80 nucleotides in length. Their secondary structure includes four short double-helical elements and three loops (D, anti-codon, and T loops). Lineage: Eukaryota; Metazoa; Chordata; Mammalia; Rodentia; Caviidae. The record is from Rfam by way of RNAcentral.